RNAcentral lists this ribosomal RNA (301 nucleotides) under uncultured bacterium. Its description in RNAcentral is "partial 16S ribosomal RNA". It matches the Rfam family "Bacterial small subunit ribosomal RNA", at positions 509 to 807 of the family's 1533-position model. The record is from RNAcentral.
CAGCAGCCACGGUAAUCCGAAGGGGGCUAGCGUUGUUCGGAUUUACUGGGCGUAAAGGGCGCGUAGGCGGACUGAUAAGUCAGGGGUGAAAUCCCAAGGCUCAACCUUGGAACUGCCUUUGAUACUGAAGAUCUUGAGUUCGGGAGAGGUGAGUGGAACUGCGAGUGUAGAGGUGAAAUUCGUAGAUAUUCGCAAGAACACCAGUGGCGAAGGCGGCUCACUGGCCCGAUACUGACGCUGAGGCACGAAAGCCAGGGGAGCGAACAGGAUUAGAUACCCGCGUAGUCCCUGUCUCUUAUAC